GAUUUCUGGCGGGAGCGGGUGGUCCGGCACUUUGUGUUGGUACUUUCCUGUCUCUUGCCAUCCUUGGGUCUAAGCUGUCUGGCAUUUAGUUGUCGGGCAGUGGCUGCCCAUCGUUUACUGUGAAAAAAUUAGAGUGUUCAAAGCAGGCUUAUGCCGUUGAAUAUAUUAGCAUGGAAUAAUAAGAUAGGACCUUGGUACUAUUUUGUUGGUUUGCGCACCGAGGUAAUGAUUAAGAGGGACAGUUGGGGGUAUUCGUAUUCAAUUGUCAGAGGUGAAAUUCUUGGAUUUCUGGAAGACGAACUACUGCGAAAGCAUUUACCAAGGAUGUUUUCAUUAAUCAAGAACGAAAGUUAGGGGAUCGAAGAUGAUUAGAUACCAUCGUAGUCUUAACCAUAAACUAUGCCGACUAGGGAUUUGUGGGUGUUAUUUUUGACCCCAUGAGCACCUUAUGAGAAAUCAAAGUCUUUGGGUUCCGGGGGGAGUAUGGUCGCAAGUCUGAAACU
Molecule: ribosomal RNA, 503 nt
Filed under: Attheya sp. RCC5212
Lineage: Eukaryota; Bacillariophyta; Biddulphiophyceae; Attheyales; Attheyaceae
Description: SSU rRNA
Rfam family: Eukaryotic small subunit ribosomal RNA
Source: RNAcentral